Molecule: RNA transcript, 765 nt
Organism: Anoplophora glabripennis (Asian longhorned beetle)
Lineage: Eukaryota; Metazoa; Arthropoda; Insecta; Coleoptera; Cerambycidae
Exons: 4
Source: RefSeq, a predicted model, not a curated record
CAGAACAGAAGUUCCACACCGUCCUUUUCGUGACCACGUGACCCACUCGUCCUCCCACGUAUCCGUAACGGAAACGAGGCACAGUAUUCGAAUAAGCUACUCGAAAACACCUCAGUACAGAAAAACGCUCAACAUUUACAAAAAAAAAUGAAUAAAGUAGUGUUCGCCUUCGUUUGCGUCGCUAUCCUGCAGAUCGCAUCUGCGUUAGAAUGCUUCUCUUGUAAGGGACCAACAUGCGAAACAGAAACCAAAACCUGGGAUAAGAAGACAUGUGGCACAAGUGGCGUCUCUCUUCCAGCAAACGCCCAACACGCCUGCCUAAAAUUGAGCUAUAAAGACAGGACAACACAGAAGAUGAUGGUAGAAAGGGGUUGCACUAUAGCCAAUUUAAAAGACGGGAAACUAAGUCACAACUGUCAAAAUGCCGGUGACCAACCUGUAUGUCCUGUGUGUCAAACUGACUUGUGUAAUUCUGCGAAAAGCAUCAGUUUCAGCUUUGUGGCACUUUGCGGUGUCGUUUUGGCGAUUGCGGCGCCCAAACUUAUGUAAAAUCACCCCACCCCUUCGCUUGUAUGAUUCGUGGGAAAUGGAUGAUGCUUUGAAAAACAAACCAAGUGUUCAAGCCCCGCAAGCCGUGUAUAUGUCUUCGUUAACUGUGUUUAUUUUUAUUAUAUUUUUGGAUGUGAGGUAUAAUUGUUUAUUACUGAAAUUAAAUAUUGAAUUUCUUUGAUAAUUUUAAAUUUCGAAUUAAAAAAUAAAUUUCUA